Molecule: ribosomal RNA, 560 nt
Filed under: uncultured bacterium
Lineage: Bacteria
Description: bacterial SSU rRNA
Rfam family: Bacterial small subunit ribosomal RNA
Source: RNAcentral
CCUACGGGAGGCAGCAGUAGGGAAUCUUGCGCAAUGGGCGAAAGCCUGACGCAGCCAUGCCGCGUGAAUGAUGAAGGUCUUAGGAUUGUAAAAUUCUUUCACCGGGGAAGAUAAUGACGGUACCCGGAGAAGAAGCCCCGGCUAACUUCGUGCCAGCAGCCGCGGUAAUACGAAGGGGGCUAGCGUUGCUCGGAAUUACUGGGCGUAAAGGGCGCGUAGGCGGAUAGUUUAGUCAGAGGUGAAAGCCCAGGGCUCAACCUUGGAACUGCCUUUGAUACUGGCUAUCUUGAGUUCGGGAGAGGUGAGUGGAAUGCCGAGUGUAGAGGUGAAAUUCGUAGAUAUUCGGCGGAACACCAGUGGCGAAGGCGACUCACUGGCCCGAUACUGACGCUGAGGCGCGAAAGCGUGGGGAGCAAACAGGAUUAGAUACCCUGGUAGUCCACGCUGUAAACGAUGAGUGCUAGUUGUCGGCAUGCAUGCAUGUCGGUGACGCAGCUAACGCAUUAAGCACUCCGCCUGGGGAGUACGGUCGCAAGAUUAAAACUCAAAGGAAUUGACGG